Molecule: non-coding RNA, 774 nt
Organism: Physcomitrium patens
Lineage: Eukaryota; Viridiplantae; Streptophyta; Bryopsida; Funariales; Funariaceae
Source: RefSeq, a predicted model, not a curated record
CCACAUAGUUAGAGAAAGGGGAGGGGAGGAGGAGGAGGAGGGCGGCGCUACUUGGGUUGUUGCGGCACAAAAUUAUGGGCGCGAUAGCCUCCGAUGAUUCGGCUGAUGUCGACCCAUCGGCAUUCAUGGGCCAAGGAAGUAUUGAACAGAGCACAGGUAUCAAUCCAGGGCUGGUUGUUCUUAUUGUGGUAUUGGGAGCCUUAUUGAUCUUUGGUCUAGGAAAUUACUUCUUAUAUCAAUAUGCCCAGAAGAAUCUUCCAGUUAAGAGAAAGAAGCCUGUGUCGAAGAAAAAACUUAAAAAGGAAAAAUUGAAAGGAGGAGUACGUCCAGCUGGAGAUUAAGUGUAAUACGCUUCGAGUACGCUUGCAACUUCCUGAUAAGAAUAUAUUUCUUUUCCAAUAAAGGUUUGUGAUAAAGCUAUAGCCAUCGAUUAGUCUUGGUUAUUGCACAGAGACGUAGCCUAUUUCGCUGCAGUGUAGUGGGUAGUCGGAUCUCUGAGCAGACCAUGACUUUACACUGUGAGCGCAAAGUAUAGGCUGGUUGUAGGUUGUCAGUGUUCAGUACUAUGAUGUCCAGAGUGGGUGGAUGGAAUUCUAUGUUACUUUCACCAGAAGGUGCAGUUGUCUGUAUGCGCUAUUUUGUAUCUUCGAGACAGAAGAAAUGAGAGGUAUUCUGGUAUUCCUCCUGCUUUGUAUUUUGGUGCAACUUAAAAGGAGGUUUAUUGUAUGUAUAUUCCUUCAGGUUUCAAGUAAAGAUGUUACAACUUUGUAAGUC